AUUGAACGCUGGCGGCAGGCCUAACACAUGCAAGUCGAGCGAGCGGCGGACGGGUGCGUAAUGUUUGGGGACUGCCCGUUAGCGGGGGAUAACUACUGGAAACGGUAGCUAAUACCGCAUACUAUCGGCUACCCCAUAUGGGAUUAGCUAGUAGGUGAGGGAAUGGCCCACCUAGUCGACGAUCCCUAGCUGGUCUGAGAGGAUGAUCAGCCACACUGGGACUGAGACACGGCCCAGACUCCUACGGAGGCAGCAGUGGGGAAUAUUGCACAAUGGGCGCAAGCCUGAUGCAGCCAUGACGCGUGAAUGAAGAAGGCCCUAGGGUUGUAAAGUACGUUCGGUCGGGAGGCGUUACCGACAGAGGAAGCACCGGCUAACUCCGUGCCAGCAGCCGCGGUAAUAC
RNAcentral lists this ribosomal RNA (403 nucleotides) under uncultured bacterium. Its description in RNAcentral is "partial 16S ribosomal RNA". It matches the Rfam family "Bacterial small subunit ribosomal RNA", at positions 30 to 526 of the family's 1533-position model. The record is from RNAcentral.